UGAAGGGGUGUACUUGGUCUGAAACAGUGUUCAGGUAGGUGGUACAGUACCUGUCAAAGUAACAGCCACAUGAAUGCCAGGACCCAAGAUUUCCCAGCAGCUCAUUGCACAGAUUAUCACACCACCUCCACCGGCUUGCCUUCGUCUCCCAUAGCGCUUCCUGGUGCCAUCUCUUCCCCAGUCUGUGCUACAGUAGCUCUUCUGUGGGAUCGGACUAGACGUGCUAGCCUUCGCUCCCCACGCGCAUCAAUGAACCUUGGGCGCCAG
Long non-coding RNA from Ictalurus punctatus (channel catfish), 267 nucleotides. Lineage: Eukaryota; Metazoa; Chordata; Actinopteri; Siluriformes; Ictaluridae. The record is from Ensembl.